This is a ribosomal RNA of Pteropus vampyrus (large flying fox), 126 nucleotides long. NCBI's taxonomy places the organism in Eukaryota, Metazoa, Chordata, Mammalia, Chiroptera, Pteropodidae. The record is from Ensembl.
CUCUAUGGCCAUGCACUCUGAACGUGCCCGAUCUCGUCUGAUCUCGGAAGCUAAGCAGGAUCAGGCCUGGUUAGUACUUGGAUGGGAGACCACCUAGGAAUCUAGGAAGACCAGGUGCUGUAGGCA